This 253-nucleotide ribosomal RNA is filed under the name uncultured bacterium. Its description in RNAcentral is "partial 16S ribosomal RNA". It matches the Rfam family "Bacterial small subunit ribosomal RNA", at positions 524 to 776 of the family's 1533-position model. The record is from RNAcentral.
UACGUAGGGCGCAAGCGUUAUCCGGAAUUAUUGGGCGUAAAGAGCUCGUAGGCGGUUUGUCGCGUCUGCCGUGAAAGUCCGAGGCUCAACCUCGGAUCUGCGGUGGGUACGGGCAGACUAGAGUGAUGUAGGGGAGACUGGAAUUCCUGGUGUAGCGGUGAAAUGCGCAGAUAUCAGGAGGAACACCGAUGGCGAAGGCAGGUCUCUGGGCAUUAACUGACGCUGAGGAGCGAAAGCAUGGGGAGCGAACAGG